Molecule: long non-coding RNA, 3135 nt
Organism: Bombus terrestris (buff-tailed bumblebee)
Lineage: Eukaryota; Metazoa; Arthropoda; Insecta; Hymenoptera; Apidae
Exons: 5
Source: RefSeq, a predicted model, not a curated record
UUAUUCAUUAUUUCAUUAUAACUGUUAACACACGUCAUAAUAAUAUCAAAUUAUAACGAAAACACGUGCGUUUUUAAACGUAUUAUGAAUCAUACCGCGAUUAUGCAUUCUCGAGUCAAGAGAUGAAACACGGAGGAAAAGGAGGAGAGGAAUGGAGAACCGUGUAUCGCAUAGCAAACGAGCCGAUAGGCUUUACGAGCAAAUCGAACCUUGGAAAACCGCUAGUUACUUUUAACACAGUGGUUCGCAACUACAGAAUGUUAUCAUAGCUGUUUUAGACAUAUUAUCGAUAAGUAUGUAAUUCCUAAACUGUUUUUUUUAUUCCUAGUUUAACUACUAUUUCUAUGUUAUAUUUCCUCGACUUUGUGAGCUCUAAAAUCAAGUGUUAAAUAUAAGAAAGGAAAACCUUUGAGUUAAUAACGUCAAAGGCGUAAUAACGCGCGUGUUUGCGUGUAGAAAUGAUCAUCUGCAUUUUCAUUUUUUCCAUACCGUGAAGAUUCAAGUUACUUUGAACAUGGUUCGAUAUAUGAAACUCAAAGUUUUUGACAAACGUUGAAUAUUGGUCUUCAAAAAAUUGAUAAAUGUUGGAGUCAUAGUAGAUUUCAAAGUUUAAGGAAGUUUAGUAGAUAUUAAACAUCUUAUAUGCUAUACAUAAUCUUAAUACUACGUACAUAUGUAUUUAAGUAUAUAUCUUAUGUACUAUAAGAUAUGUACUAUAUUGAGUACCCACUGAACUUUUAGAACCUUGAAUCCUAUCAAGACUUCCAAUACUUCCAAGACUUAUCAAACUUUUAAUCUUUUUAUAGCUAAUGAGAAUUGUUUUCCACAAAUGUACAUACCGUAGGAAACAAAAAAUUGAAUUUUAUUGAAUAUUAAUUUCAUAAAAUCUGUCUAAUGUGGAACCACAGCACUCACCUAUCUCUAUUUGCAAAAGGACUUACUAAAGCUCUAUGUCUGUGGUUAAAGAUUCAAGACCUAUCAAGAUUCAAAAUUGAUCGAGAUUUUCCAAGGCUGCAUCAUUACAUACACGUACACACACUGCCUGUCACGAAUGCACGCACGGUGUGCGCGCGGGUUGAACGUAACGACAACGACGUGGAACAAUUACAAACUAACCGUGAUUCCGCCAGACGGAAGAGACAGACCCCUUCGUUCAUCGGAUCUCUUUGUUCCCAAAAGGAUGUUAAUGAUCGGUGAACAAAGAUCUAUCUUCCGGCUUGCAUCGCUUCAUUAUCAGAAGCUAACCCCGUGUAUAGUCAGGACUAUAUCCGACACAAUGCUGUUUACGCUCAUCAAGAGACUACUCGUUCGGUCUCGCCGGGAAGGAAAAAAAAUGCAAUCGGGUAAACAGCCUUUAAAGCCGAAGCUUUCGUGACGUGUAAUUUUAUGCCGUAUAAAUCGCAAGAGAUAUUCACUUCUGUGGUUUUCUGGCGCGGAUACGCAACAGGGAACAGGGGUAAUACCGCGGUAAGGGUAAGAGAUUACACAGUGCACGUAGCCUUUUUUCCCCCUUACGUAAUAUCCACGGCACACGUGAAGGAAUUGAUGGAGCGAUCGUAACGAGGAAAAAGAUCUCAUCGACUCGUUCAAUCAGUGAUCCUUCGCGGGUUCAUCGAGAUUCAACAUUUAUUAAUAUUAAAUCUCUCGCAAUGUUUACCUCGUUUCUUUUUUUAAUCCUUUUUUCCCAUCUCAGAUAAGUUUCCAUGCUACACGUUUAUCGAAUAAUAAUCGCAAGUGAUUGGAAACCAUUAUAAAUCGUCUCGAAUGGGAAAAAAGAGAAAGCGGGAAGAAAGAGAGGAAUAAAAGGAUGAGGCAAGGGUAACGAGGGUGACAUGUCGCUUUGCGUUGAGCCUGUGUGCGCGAUCUACGUUCUUAUGUAAUAACGUGCAACACGUGAACGCGCGAUGAACUCGUUGGAAAGUUCGCGAGCUACAAUUUCUCCUACGCCAGAAAUGAUUCGUCCCACAUUUCUUUUUUCUUUUUCGAAGGUGAAAGACAUCUUCUUAGCAGAGAAGUGAUGGAGGAUGUUAUCGUUUAAUAAGCCCGAGAAUCUAAAUGAGGUCGUCCAUAAGAAACGUAGAGGUACAUUUACUGUUAGCUCGUAGAAAACGGUACUUCCCAAAAAGAUAGGAAGGAAAUACAGUUUUAUCGUGACUACAUUCCAGUCACGGCCGAUUGAUCGUAACUCUACUACGUGCAUUUCAUAAUACGAUUUUAUUUCGCGGUAACAUCUGUAAAUCUAGAGAUCAAAUGACAAACGAACCAUUUCCAUCAGAAGAGGAUAAGGAAGUGUUUGGAAGCCUGCAAAGUCGAAGAUUUCGUUCCAGCGUAAAAAUAAUCAUCGUCCCGUUGGAAGAAAAAUCAUACACGACAAGAUGGAGAAAAAAAAAAGAGGAAAAGAAUUCGCUGACUGGCUGCAUUCCAAUCAGUCGUAUCUUCUCCGUGCGUUGCACCUACACGCGAGUGCAACGCCUUUCAUUAAUGGGAUUCUUUAUUAACAGUGCCUAAUUUAAGGACUGGCUUCUGCGGCUUGAUAUUUAAUUUUCCGGCAAGGAAAAGCGCAGUGGAAAUCAAAGAAAUUACGCGAUUAAAAUCGAGUUCAGAGAAACAAUUCGCGAACAAUAAAAGCGAUGCAACGUAACACUCAACUUUCUCGUUACAAAGCGAACAAUGCAUUACAGGAAGAGUCCGUAACUAAUUCGAAUUUCGCAGCGGCGGUUGUUUCUAAGAAAAUAAGUAAAAAUGCAUUUAAAUCAGAGCCAACGACGUAGAAAAACGCACGAUGUAAUUUUGCAACGGAAUCAAAGCGACUCUGCACGCAACUUUGAUCAUCAAUAAUUAAGAACAAUCGCCGCCGCUCGUUACAGAUAAAUCGUCGACGGUAUUUUACACGAACUUCAUUGUUUAUCAUUAAAUACAUUUGCUACCGUGAUGCUACGUAUUUGUACGAAUAACAAAUUUAAAGUUAUGAAAUCUAAGCAGAAGAAAAAAUAUGUAGUAGAAUAAAUAUCAAACAAAUUCUUGGAAGUUUUUUCACAAUUACGAUAUCAAGAAAUUAAAUAAUGUAAUAAUGUAAAUAGGUUUAAAAAAAGAUUGUAAAUGAAAUACAUUAACGUUAGAAAAUGGAAAUAAAAA